Molecule: long non-coding RNA, 825 nt
Organism: Phyllostomus discolor (pale spear-nosed bat)
Lineage: Eukaryota; Metazoa; Chordata; Mammalia; Chiroptera; Phyllostomidae
Exons: 2
Source: RefSeq, a predicted model, not a curated record
UCUUCUUCUGCCUGCCAGGGACGAAGUCAUUCCUGACAUCAGAUUCUGACACUUUUAUUUUAAGCAGCUGAUCACCUAACUCACUCAAAAGGGAAGACCAGUGAUUUCCAUCAUAAAUAAUGAACCAGAGGACUGAAAGUUUGGCCAAGGAUCAUAGUACCCAGAAACAAAGCUGCAAAAGAUAUAAUCGGGUAGAAUGUUUUGUAUAUAAAAAAAUCAUUAUGCAUUCUAAGUUUAGUCCAUUUGCUUACUAGAGAGCUAAUGCAAGCAACACGGAAUUUGGAGUUCAGGAAACCUGGGUUACCGCCUGAAGAACAAUGAGAUUUUCUGUGUACAGAUAAUGUGCAGCUGGAAACAGCCACACAAUUCCUCAGUGCCGGCCGACUGCUGCCUUUGCAACAGGCAGGAGGUUUCAUUUUCUACCGUAUGUUCUUCCCAGGCAUCUGUUUUUUUUUUUUUUUUUGCAAUAAGCAUCAAGGAAUGAAAAAGCAAAAGAGGAACACAAAAAUAAUACACCUUCCUUAAUCAACUAUCACAAUUAGUCACAGGUGUCAAAUGUCUGAAUGCUGGACUCCAUGAGAAAAUCAGUUCGUUCAUUGCGUUUUUUAAUUAAAGAAAUGUUUCAAAUUUUUGUUAGGAAACUUUUAGAUUUACAGAAAAGUUGCAAAUUUAUGAGACUGUACUUUUUCACCCACCAUUCGCCAUCAUCUUAUAUACACGAUUUGUCAAAACCAAGAAAUCAACACCAGCCCAUUACAAUGAACCAAAACCCAAAUUUUAUUCCCCUUGUUGCUACCUAACAUCCUUUUCUGUUCCAAAACAUCA